UACGUAGGUGGCGAGCGUUGUUCGGAUUUACUGGGCGUAAAGGGCGCGCAGGCGGCGAGUUUUGUCAGGCGUGAAAGCCCCGGGCUUAACCUGGGAAUGGCGCUUGGGACGGGUUCGCUAGAGAUCGGGAGAGGAGCGUGGAAUUCCCAGUGUAGAGGUGAAAUUCGUAGAUAUUGGGAAGAACACCGGUGGCGAAGGCGGCGCUCUGGACCGAGACUGACGCUGAGGCGCGAAAGCGUGGGGAGCAAACAGG
Molecule: ribosomal RNA, 253 nt
Filed under: uncultured bacterium
Lineage: Bacteria
Description: partial 16S ribosomal RNA
Rfam family: Bacterial small subunit ribosomal RNA
Source: RNAcentral